GGCCUUCUUGAAGAAACAGACACAUGGAUUCUGCAUACUAGCCCUUUCAGGAACAGAAAUCAAGUCUUCCCACUGAUGAUUUGGCUUCCAGCACACAAAACUCGUGUGGAGAGGAAAAGGAAAGAGACCUUCUUGAAGACAGCCACAUGGAUCCUGCAAACUAGCCAUUUUGCGGGAACAGAAAUCAAGACAUCCCAUGGAUAAUUUGGCAUCCAGCUCACAAAACUUGCAUGGAGAGGCAAUGGGAAGAGGCCUUCUUGAAGAUACAGACACUUGGAUUCUGCAAACUUGCCAUUUUGUGGGAACAGAAAUCAAGUCUUCCCACUGAUAAUUUGGCUUCCUGCACACAUAACUCACGUGGUAAGAAGACCCCUUCUAGGCCUCCUGUCUCAGUCCCUGUCUUUGUCUGUCUGUAC
Tupaia belangeri chinensis (Chinese tree shrew) is the source of this 416-nucleotide long non-coding RNA. RefSeq lists it as uncharacterized. NCBI's taxonomy places the organism in Eukaryota, Metazoa, Chordata, Mammalia, Scandentia, Tupaiidae. The record is from RefSeq and is a predicted model, not a curated record. The transcript has 3 exons.